RNA transcript from Papaver somniferum (opium poppy), 1113 nucleotides. It is a transcript of the gene named U4/U6.U5 small nuclear ribonucleoprotein 27 kDa protein-like, with no coding region annotated. The record is from RefSeq and is a predicted model, not a curated record. The transcript has 3 exons. NCBI's taxonomy places the organism in Eukaryota, Viridiplantae, Streptophyta, Magnoliopsida, Ranunculales, Papaveraceae.
CAAAAAGACCCGGGGUGCGGAUUGGGUGUGAUACACACACUUCUCUCCAUCAUGUUCUUCGCUUUGAGAAGGUGAAGAACUUAAAAGAACAGGAAAAAAAUGGUGGAUAGAGAGAGAGACCGUGAGAGAGACAGAGACAGAGAUAGAGAAAGAAGGAGAGACAGAGAAGAUAGAGACCGAGACCGUGAAAGAGAUAGAAUCAAAGAUCGAGAUCGAAGCAGAAGAUCACGAACCCCAGAACGUACUCGUUCAUCAAGACAUACUCGUUCUCGUACCCGCUCACCAAGACGCCCUCGCUCCGGUACCCGUUCACCAUCAGAUCGAAGAGUAAAAUCAAGAUCUCGUUCACGUUCCGUCGACCGUUCUCGACGACAUCAUCAUCACCGUGACCGUUCUCCGUCGCAAGAACGAAAACACCGUCGUGACGACAACAAACAAAGAAGGGAUUCAUCAGUUGAUAUAGUAUCAGAAUUUGUUGAUGGAAUUGUAAGGGAGCAAGAUGAGAAGAAGGCACCUAAUGAAGAUGGUAAUGAGGGAGAAAUUAUGAUGGAUAAUGAUGAGAUUGAGUUGAUGAAGAAAUUAGGUAUGCCUGUUGGCUUUGAUUCAACUAAAGGUAAACCUGUACCUGGUGCUGAUGUUAGUGGGAUUAGAAUGACUACUAAAAGACAACCUCGACAGUAUAUGAAUAGACGUGGAGGGUUUAAUCGGCCUCUUCCUCUCGAGCGUAAUCGUUGAUAUUCAUUCUCCAAGAAUCUCGCCUUUGGUUGUAAUUGCAAAUAUGCAAUUAGUCAACUGAUAGUGAAGGUCGUAGCUCGUAGGUUUCUCAUUGUUCAAAUAUUCAGGGAGUAUUGUGGUGGCAAGAUGGAAGUGGAGCUGUUUGUGCCUCAGUUGCAAGGUGACUUUAGUCAGAGAUAUAUCAGAAUGUAAUUUGAAAAAUACUGUAAGAUGGUUAUAUAUUCUCUCUUAAAAACUUUCAGAUACCUGAGAUGGAUAUUAUGUUUGGUCUCUGAUUAUCCUUAUAGGUGGAUGUGAGUGCUCAUAACAGAUUUGUUAUGAGGUGUAGCUAAUAUCCUCUGUUUGUCGACCCGACCGAAUUUAUUCUCUUCUGUUCCA